This is a long non-coding RNA of Acanthochromis polyacanthus (spiny chromis), 583 nucleotides long. RefSeq lists it as uncharacterized. The record is from RefSeq and is a predicted model, not a curated record. The transcript has 4 exons. Lineage: Eukaryota; Metazoa; Chordata; Actinopteri; Pomacentridae.
CCACCAGUACCACACACUGGUAGCAGUUAUAUACCAAGUAACCCACCAGUACCACACACUGGUACCAGUUAUAUACCAAGUAACCCACCAGUACCACACACUGGUACCAGUUAUAUACCAGGUAACUGACCAGUACCACACACUGGCAGCAGUUAUAUACCAAGUAACCCACCAGUACCACACACUAGUACCAGUUAUAUACCAAGUAACCCACCAGUACCACACACUGGUACCAGUUAUAUACCAGGUAACUGACCAGUACCACACACUGGCAGCAGUUAUAUACCAAGUAACCCACCAGUACCACACACUGGUACCAGUUAUAUACCAAGUAACCCACCAGUACCACACACUGGUACCAGUUAUAUACCAGGUAACCCACCAGUACCACACACUGGUACCAGUUAUAUACCAAGUAACCCACCAGUACCACACACUGGUACCAGUUAUAUACCAGGUAACCCACCAGUACCACACACUGGUAGCAGUUAUAUACCAAGUAACCCACCAGUACCACACACUAGUACCAGUUAUAUACCAAGUAACCCACCAGUACCACACACUGGUACCAGUAAUAUACCAG